GAUGAAGAACGUAGCGAAAUGCGAUAAGUAAUGUGAAUUGCAGAAUUCAGUGAAUCAUCGAAUCUUUGAACGCAUCUUGCGCUCCUUGGUAUUCUGAGGAGCAUGCCUGUUUGAGUGUCAUUAAAUUCUCAACUACACUGACUUUGAAUUGGUGUGGCUUGGAGUUGGGGGGGAAAAUUGUUGUGGGCUUUUUGUAUAGUCUGCUCCCCUGAAAUUGAUUAGCGGUACCUUUGUGGAACUGUCUACAGGUGUGAUAAUUAUCUACAUCCUAGACAUCUGCUGGAAUGCUGCUUUCUAAACCUUACUUGUAUUGACAAUCUUGACCUCAAAUCAGGUAGGACUACCCGCUGAACUUAAGCAUAUCAAUAAGCGGAGGA
This 377-nucleotide unclassified non-coding RNA is filed under the name soil metagenome. RNAcentral's name for it is "partial contains 5.8S ribosomal RNA, internal transcribed spacer 2, and large subunit ribosomal RNA". The stretch from base 1 to 120 matches the Rfam family "5.8S ribosomal RNA", at positions 35 to 154 of the family's 154-position model. The record is from RNAcentral.